UUAGCUCAUAUUUGUAUGGAAUGCGAUCGUUUGCCUACGUUUGCCGCUAGGGGCGCUGUUCCAACUGCAUACAAAAUUGGGUUA
Bombyx mori (domestic silkworm) is the source of this 84-nucleotide non-coding RNA. The record is from Rfam. NCBI's taxonomy places the organism in Eukaryota, Metazoa, Arthropoda, Insecta, Lepidoptera, Bombycidae.